This 253-nucleotide ribosomal RNA is filed under the name uncultured bacterium. Its description in RNAcentral is "partial 16S ribosomal RNA". It matches the Rfam family "Bacterial small subunit ribosomal RNA", at positions 524 to 776 of the family's 1533-position model. The record is from RNAcentral.
UACGAAGGGGGCUAGCGUUGUUCGGAAUUACUGGGCGUAAAGGGUGCGUAGGUGGCGCCGUAAGUCAGGUGUGAAAUCUCGGGGCUCAACCCCGAAACUGCACUUGAUACUGCGGUGCUCGAGUACUGGAGAGGAGAUUGGAAUUUACGGUGUAGCAGUGAAAUGCGUAGAUAUCGUAAGGAAGACCAGUGGCGAAGGCGAAUCUCUGGACAGUUACUGACACUGAGGCACGAAGGCCAGGGGAGCAAACGGG